RNAcentral lists this transfer RNA (64 nucleotides) under Romualdius bifoveolatus. RNAcentral describes it as "tRNA-Ile". The record is from RNAcentral. Lineage: Eukaryota; Metazoa; Arthropoda; Insecta; Coleoptera; Curculionidae.
AAUGGAAUGCCUGAAAAAAGGGUUACUUUGAUAGAGUAAAUAAUAUAGAAAUCUAUUUCCAUUG